Molecule: long non-coding RNA, 674 nt
Filed under: Aedes aegypti (yellow fever mosquito)
Lineage: Eukaryota; Metazoa; Arthropoda; Insecta; Diptera; Culicidae
Description: lncRNA AAEL022186
Source: RNAcentral
UUUUAUCAAAGUGAGUAACUUGUUACUCACUCAUGAAAGAAAACGACCUUACUCACUUUUGAGUAAACACUAACAUAUUUGACUCACUUUGGAAUUGUCAAAUACUUGUGAAAAUUUCGGCUUCCAAGUUUAGAAGUAAAUAUCGUUGUAAGAAUAUGUAUUAUACUAAUAAAACAGUGCUUAACAUCUGUAGAAUUAUCUAUAACGAAUCAUGCAAGUUGUGCAAUAGAUGAUUAAUUGUUACUGUUAUAAUUAAUCCCGAUAUCAAGUGAAGCGAGAUCGGAGUUUUUGAAGGUAACCAAGUCCUGGUUUUGAUCGAACAACCGCAAGAAAAAAGUUUAUAUACAUCUUUCCGGAAAUGCUACUGGCUCGAGCAAACAUCCGGAUCAAAAUCCAGUGAGAAAAUUUCACCGGAUGAUCAUUGAGAGGAAGAAUGCGCAGCGAAAUCGUUCAUUUUUGGUAAACACGGCCCGCAGUUUACUGCGAACACUUAGGUUAUCUUCCCGCUGGAAGUUGCCGCGUGACAUCAUUGUAAAUAGAUCCCCCAGAGAUUUAUAUCCUUCGGAGAUCCGUUCCAGAGAAGCGAAAGUUUAGACAUAAUAUCACAAUUUUAUUACUUAUCAUGUACUUUUAUUUAUGUAUGAGAUAAUGAAAUAAAUGUUAUUCCUUUCGAA